GCGUGGGAAUACAACGCCCUGAUCCCGAGCAACCGGAUACCUAAAUAUUACCGACAGAUAUUGCUUAGUAGCAAGUAGUUCCAUUUUACUUGAGGUGGUCCAGCGAGGACGCCACUAACGCUGGCUUCAUCGAAAUACACGGGAGAUUGGAAGCCCUGC
Molecule: long non-coding RNA, 159 nt
Organism: Solenopsis invicta (red fire ant)
Lineage: Eukaryota; Metazoa; Arthropoda; Insecta; Hymenoptera; Formicidae
Exons: 2
Source: RefSeq, a predicted model, not a curated record